GACGAACGCUGGCGGCGUGCCUAAUACAUGCAAGUCGAACGAAGCUGUUUUAACUGGUGCUUGCACCGACUUAAACAACUGAGUGGCGAACGGGUGAGUAACACGUGGGUAACCUGCCACAAAGCGGGGGAUAACGUUUGGAAACAGAUGCUAAUACCGCAUAACCACAGAAACCACAUGGUUUCUGUGUCAAAGAUGGUUUCGGCUAUCACUUUGGGAUGGAACCGCGGCGUAUUAGCUAGUUGGUAAGGUAAUGGCUUACCAAGGCAAUGAUACGUAGCCGAACUGAGAGGUUGAUCGGCCACAUUGGGACUGAGACACGGCCCAAACUCCUACGGGAGGCAGCAGUAGGGAAUCUUCCACAAUGGACGAAAGUCUGAUGGAGCAACGCCGCGUGAGUGAAGAAGGUUUUCGGAUCGUAAAACUCUGUUGUCAGAGAAGAACGUGUGCGAGAGUAACUGCUCGUGCAGUGACGGUAUCUGGCCAGAAAGCCACGGCUAACUACGUGCCAGCCGCCGCGGUAA
Molecule: ribosomal RNA, 524 nt
Filed under: uncultured bacterium
Lineage: Bacteria
Description: partial 16S ribosomal RNA
Rfam family: Bacterial small subunit ribosomal RNA
Source: RNAcentral